GGUAGGAGCAAAUAUUCACAUGAAAACUUGGAAGGACAAAGUGGAGAAGGUUUCCAUAUGAACAGCAGAUGAACAUGGUUCAGUUGGCCCUGAGAGACAGCUGAGUGCUGGUCCAAAGGGAUGGGCAUGGCCUCCAUUGCCCUAAACCAAUAGAAAGGGAGUCUGGUUCAAACCUCCAAUUCAAAGUAGAGGCUCAGGGUCCAGUGCCAUAACACACCUCAUCCAGGGGAAUCUGGUGGGGGUCCCAGAAAGAGUUCUCUUUUCUUUGUGAAGAGCAGGGCUGACAUGGAAUGACUUCACAGUAUGGAGAACAUCAUGGUUCUGGUAGCAUAUGGAAAUCUUCUCCACUUUGUCCUUCCAAGUUUUCUUUUGUCCCUUGAAAAUCCAGGAGGGAGGGUGUAAAUCUUAUGAACUGUUAAGGCCUGGGAUUUCACCCACCACCAAGGAAGGCUGUGGAC
This 458-nucleotide non-coding RNA is filed under the name Monodelphis domestica (gray short-tailed opossum). RNAcentral's name for it is "Eukaryotic large subunit ribosomal RNA". It matches the Rfam family "Eukaryotic large subunit ribosomal RNA", at positions 1456 to 1832 of the family's 3401-position model. Lineage: Eukaryota; Metazoa; Chordata; Mammalia; Didelphimorphia; Didelphidae. The record is from Rfam by way of RNAcentral.